Molecule: long non-coding RNA, 1053 nt
Organism: Lolium perenne
Lineage: Eukaryota; Viridiplantae; Streptophyta; Magnoliopsida; Poales; Poaceae
Source: RefSeq, a predicted model, not a curated record
CAUUCAUGGAUUAAUAUAUGUCCGUAUUUUUACUAGAAGACGAUGAAGAUUUGAAUGUCUGCAUGUAAUGCUUCACAAUUUUACUCCUUGCUUUUGAAGGCUCUGCAUGCUUCUCUUCCAACCAAUUACUUACUAGCUGCAACAGCCUGACAGUAUGUUCCUAAGAUUGUUGUUGCUGAAGAGAUGAUUGCAUGUGAAGAACUGCUACAGAUCAGAUGGCAACCUUUGAUCAGGUUUUCACCUUAUGAUCUCUUGGAGUGAUCUUACCAUUCUAUGGCAACCUUUGAUCAGUCAAUGGAGAUUGACCAUGAUGAUGGCUGCAUAUGAGUGAAGAAGACAAAUGCUCUGGAUGAUGCCAAUAUGUACAAGGAUACAGGGGUGGGUCUAUCAAAUUCCUGCUAUGCAUCUCUGAUACUGGUUAAGAAGCAAAGUGCCAUGGUUAUCAUCACUGUUUUGGAGGAUAUAGACUCUAUGCCUCUCCAUCCCUUGGGCUUCUUUGAGUGCCGAAGUGUUUCAUGCUGAAUGGUACUUGGUAAAUGGAGCACGGUGUUGGAGGGAACAGAGGCGGCUGGACGAGGCAGCGGCGCGAUGGGUUUGGGCUGGUGCAGGGAAGGGGGGCUGCCGUGCGUACGGGAAAAGGUGGUGUUGGUCAUCGCGGGAGCUCGGAUAGAGAUGGCGGUCGGACAACAGAGUGGCCCCUUCUCAAUGGAGGAUCUUCUCUUCUUUGUCCUUGACUUCCUGGCGAUGCGGUUUGCCGGGUGAACAGAGGCGUCUAAACAAGGCAGCGGCGCGAUGGGGCUGGGCCGGUGCGGGGAAGCGAGGUUGCCAUGCGUGUGGGGAAAGGAGGUGCAGGUCAUUGCAGACUCAUCUCUUCCCGCCCACUUCAUCUCAACCAGGCAGCAUGACCAGCAGCGACGUGCCGCUGCCGCCGAAGCGGUUAGGGGUCCGAAGCUGCUCGCCGAGCCCUGCCACCGCAGGUGUUCUGCCAGAGCGCCGCAACUCCCUGCCUCGACAAGGAGGCGUAGCAUUGAUGGCGGGCGACGACCGGACCAG